CAGAAAAGGUUGUGAAAGUGACUGUUGAUUGGUGGUGCUAGGGAAUUCUUCAUCAGUCAGUAACAUCAUAGGCAGCUUUGGGGACUUCCAGAAUGUUGGCAAACACAGCUCCAGCUGGUAUGGGGACUGGUGCUUCUCCAUGAGCAGAAUGGCAAAGUCUAUGUAUCCAUUGUGAACAGCUGCACUUACAUUUGUGUUUGCUGUAAAACAAAACUAGGGGAAACUGUUUUGUCAUUGCCAUUUCUGUUCUUUUCAGCAAACAACAAAAAAGCCAAACAAAACCAACCGCACAACCAAAUGAGAAAACCCCCAGAAUCCCAGCAAGCAGUCUCUAAAGCUCUAGUACUAAGAAGUACAUUAGAAAGCUGGGAGAAUCCAAAUUUAAAUGCUUCAUCUUCAGUACUUAUUGGAGAGAAUUUUUACCAUAGCUGCAUACAGCAUGAAAACUUGUAACAGGGUAGGAGGAUGAGAUUUGGAGAACCUGGAGCUGGAACUUAAGGCAAUAUUCAGGCGGUGAUUAUGCAAUUGUUGCAUAACAUGGAGAGUGCUUGCAUGAAUAAUCCUAUUAACAUUAGAGUUUCACAAUCAGGCAAAUGAACAUGGCACUGUUCAAAAUCAUCUGUAUUUAAUGGUGGAAAAAUCAGCAAAAUCACCAUUAGUAAAACAAUGAUCUCAUUAAAUAUAUUCUUUCUCAGUGGGGGAUAAGAGUGGAAGAACAUCAGAGGAAAGAAUAGAGGAAAACAUUUUCUCAGCUUAGAUAUAGUAGUAAGGGUUUGUUUCAAUGGUUUCCUUUGAGAAAGAGAAAUGAUGGGG
Long non-coding RNA from Neopsephotus bourkii (Bourke's parrot), 813 nucleotides. RefSeq lists it as uncharacterized. Lineage: Eukaryota; Metazoa; Chordata; Aves; Psittaciformes; Psittacidae. The transcript has 3 exons. The record is from RefSeq and is a predicted model, not a curated record.